This is a long non-coding RNA of Lingula anatina, 887 nucleotides long. NCBI's taxonomy places the organism in Eukaryota, Metazoa, Brachiopoda, Lingulata, Lingulida, Lingulidae. The record is from RefSeq and is a predicted model, not a curated record.
GUCGAAACUGGGACUGUCACGUUGCACUGAGCAAGUGACUGGAGAGCGUUUCUCCCGAAUGGAAAAACCUGCCUUUCAAGUUACAUAGCUUUGGGUUUGCCGACUAAAAGUUUUAGUGAAAUGUUGACAGCAUACCUAUCCCUGCCUAAGCUAUAGCAUGAGAAUGCAUGGAAUAGAUGGCAUGAAAUGAUAAAAAGAUACCAAUAAGACAAAGCAGAAGAUUCCCGAAUUUCAUAUCAGCUGACAAUAAGGGAAGAGGUGUUCUGGUCAAGACCAGGGGAAAUUAUUUUCCAUACGAUUUUGUGUGAUAGUGCUGUUGAUGCAGGUGUGACUGAACAAGAAAUGGUGUUUUGUAGAGUCUUGGAUAUUGUUUACCCUAGAAACCUUUCUCAUAGCAGACAAGUUCUGGAACAUUAUUUUCUUCAAGUAUUAUACAGGAUGGGCUUUGAUCCAAAAGACUUCCAUUGAGAGUGGCCUGCCUUUAAAGAGCACAUAGGUGGCAUGUUUAUAGUGAAUAAAAGUAAAGAUAUGUGUACUGAUUUGUUUCCAAGGCUAGGAGACCAGACAAAGAUUAGAAUACAUACAAUAAUGCUAAUUGAAAUUGCCUUGUUCAGCCUGUCCACUUCUCAGGUGGAGAGAGGAUACAGUGCUCUCAAAAGAAUCGAAUCUGACUGGAGGUCAAGUUUGGGGAAUAUUAUGCUUAAGUUAACAAAAUUUUGACAGCAGUUUUAUAGGGGCCAGGUUUUGAUGAUCAUUUAGUCAAGGAAUCUAUCAACCACUGGGUGGCAGGGUGGCACUCUGGGAAAACGGCCCAAUUUUGAACUUGAAAAUUGAUUUUGUUUUCUGAUUGUCAUAUCCAGGUAAAUGACCUGGCAAUUGAAGAUUCU